UACGUAGGGGGCAAGCGUUGUCCGGAAUCAUUGGGCGUAAAGAGCGCGCAGGCGGUCGUACAAGUCGCGUGUGAAAGCCCCCGGCCCAACUGGGGAGGGUCACGCGAUACUGUUCGACUUGAAGGCAGGAGAGGGAAGCAGAAUUCCCGGUGUAGUGGUGAAAUGCGUAGAUAUCGGGAGGAAUACCAGUGGCGAAGGCGGCUUCCUGGCCUGUUCUUGACGCUGAGGCGCGAAAGCUAGGGUAGCAAACGGG
RNAcentral lists this ribosomal RNA (253 nucleotides) under uncultured bacterium. Its description in RNAcentral is "partial 16S ribosomal RNA". It matches the Rfam family "Bacterial small subunit ribosomal RNA", at positions 524 to 776 of the family's 1533-position model. The record is from RNAcentral.